This 521-nucleotide ribosomal RNA is filed under the name uncultured bacterium. RNAcentral's name for it is "bacterial SSU rRNA". It matches the Rfam family "Bacterial small subunit ribosomal RNA", at positions 777 to 1297 of the family's 1533-position model. The record is from RNAcentral.
AAUAGAUACCCUGGUAGUCCACGCCGUAAACGAUGUCGACUUGGAGGUUGUUCCCUUGAGGAGUGGCUUCCGGAGCUAACGCGUUAAGUCGACCGCCUGGGGAGUACGGCCGCAAGGUUAAAACUCAAAUGAAUUGACGGGGGGCCCGCACAAGCGGUGGAGCAUGUGGUUUAAUUCGAUGCAACGCGAAGAACCUUACCUACUCUUGACAUCCAGAGAACUUUCCAGAGAUGGAUUGGUGCCUUCGGGAACUCUGAGACAGGUGCUGCAUGGCUGUCGUCAGCUCGUGUUGUGAAAUGUUGGGUUAAGUCCCGCAACGAGCGCAACCCUUAUCCUUUGUUGCCAGCGGCUAGGCCGGGAACUCAAAGGAGACUGCCAGUGAUAAACUGGAGGAAGGUGGGGAUGACGUCAAGUCAUCAUGGCCCUUACGAGUAGGGCUACACACGUGCUACAAUGGCGCAUACAAAGAGAAGCGACCUCGCGAGAGCAAGCGGACCUCAUAAAGUGCGUCGUAGUCCGGA